CUAAAAAUGAAACAGUGUUUGUAUUUAUCAGUAGAAGAGUUUUCUUUUGCUGGCCAAUCUCUUGAUGCCAGGAGAAAAUACCUUUUCCUUCUCACUACUAGAGCCAGCUUGUUAAUUCAUUGAAAUGGUUAUUUUAUCCCCCAAAAGACUGAUUGUCUGAAGAUCAAUUUGACAGUAAAAAUGGGGUUUAUUUAGGCUGCAGCUUUAUCAGUGCAUCUCAGACUAUCCAAGGAUAAUUUACUCAGAACAGGUCAUGUUUGCAGCGUACUUGUACCUUAUAGAGACAAACUGAUUUUAAUCUGAGAAUGAAAUUAUUCUGAUCCCUUUUUCCUAGCAAUGGUGACCUUCAUAUGAGAGAUACCCCAGCUGAAGUUUGGGGAAUGUCUUCUCAUUUUAUUGGAUAUCAAGAGCUCCAGCCUUUUUGUACUUUUAUUUAAGUAAGAUAAGAGAGUAAGAUAAACUGCUAAUCUGUGUAAUUAGCAACUCCAGAUAAUAAGAUCUUCUACUGAAUUGCCUGCACUGGAUGUGUGCCAAGUUACAACAGCAUAAAUUCCACAACAUAAUCAUUACGUUGCUGAGAGAUAAGUCAAAACAAAAAAAGGCCUUUUAAGGCCUAAUCUGCCAUUAAGAGAGAAGUUCCUUCUCGGUUGUAGAAGUGAAGCACAUAAUGCCCACAGCAAAGCCCACAACCCAGGUUUGUUAUCCCAGGGGGGAAAGGGGGCGUGUAAAGAUAACUUUUUCCUGUGUCAGGUUAGGCUGUUUGUCAACCCCAUCUUUGGUGUUCAAGAGUCGAUAUAUUUACACUGUGCCUUUCCACCACAUAGGCCAGAGGACGCACAUGCCCCUCAGGCCCACCAGGUGCGUAACUACCUACCUUCAUGGGCGGAGGGUUCCCCUUCCUCCUGCUGGCUACGGGAGUCAUUCUCACCCUUGCUGCUGGGCGAAAGGAUGAAUGGACAGAGGCUCUUCCAUAUUUUAAAGACGAAUAAUUUUACCAGCGCAAGCUCAUAAAUGCAGCUGCAGAUGCCCAAGCUGUUUAUGCAGGAGGAAAGAAUCAUUAUCCACACUUCACAAGUCGGAAGCUGAGGCAGAAAGUGUUGUGGGAACAACAUGCCAAAAUCACCCAAGAAGAAAUGCCAGAAGAGGAGACCUGUCUUCAAAGUCUGUUUGAUACACUGGCCAUUAUCAAUCAGAAAUAACUCUUUAGUUUAUGGAGAGGAAAAAUGAGUACUCUGGGAGCAUUCUUAAACCCCAAAGC
Long non-coding RNA from Dromaius novaehollandiae (emu), 1258 nucleotides. RefSeq lists it as uncharacterized. NCBI's taxonomy places the organism in Eukaryota, Metazoa, Chordata, Aves, Casuariiformes, Dromaiidae. The transcript has 3 exons. The record is from RefSeq and is a predicted model, not a curated record.